RNAcentral lists this long non-coding RNA (4317 nucleotides) under Fukomys damarensis (Damara mole-rat). RNAcentral describes it as "lncRNA (ENSFDAG00000024439.1)". The record is from RNAcentral. Lineage: Eukaryota; Metazoa; Chordata; Mammalia; Rodentia; Bathyergidae.
UCGCCUGGGAUCGGCGAGGUCUGGAGUUCCUGUCCAAAGUCGCUCUCUGCACACCGACCUCGAAACCCACAAAGUAGCGGGGCACUUGGGUGAAACCGGGACCGAGUCCUGCCGGGAACCCCGGGACGGGGCGGAAGCGAACCCCGGGCAAGGCGCGGCCGGAGCCCCCUUGGCCUCGCUUCUUCCGCGUGGCAGGCGGGCUCCUAUGUCAGUCGCCGAGCCCUGCCCGGAAAGUCCGGUGCGCCCGGCCCUUCCGAGUCAGAAUCGGGCUGUACUCAGCUCCAGUUACUGCUGCAACAGGAAGUCGGGAUUCCCUGCCAGACCGAAAGUCUCAGCGGGUGGAUGCCCCUUGCCCUCACAGCUCGCUGGCUCGCUGGCUCGCUGGGGUUGGUGGUUCCCGACCUCCCACAGCAUCACCUGGGCUGCGCGGGUUCCCACCGGUUCUCCUGGAAGGCCCAGCCCGGGCGACCCACCGGGAUCCAGCACCCGGUGCCACGGUCCUCUCUGCGGGCUGAGGAGAAAGGGCGCCUUUGGGAAAGAGACAACAAUAGCCCAGACCCAGCGAGUGCAGAACUGCCCAGCCGGCUGCCUGUGGAUCUGCCAAGUCUCCGCAUUUGACUGAAGACUUUCUCCCCCACCCCAGCUCUGUCUCUCUGUGUGACUCUGUGCAUCUCUUGGGGUCUGGCUGUGUGUGUGUGUGUGUGUGUGUGUGUGUGUGUCCUGUUUUUGCUUUCCCUUGAUGUUGCUAUCCCCGCCCCUCUCCCCCCUCCUCUCUCCUCACCAUGUAGUACACUCUGGCAUUUAUUUAACUAUCAAUUGCCUAUUUGUUUAUUUGCUGGGCUAUUUCUGUGCCAUCUAGUAACUGCCUGCUCGUAGCUUGCAUUUCUCUGAGUGGUCACUGUGGCCUGUUUUGCCUGUUGUUUGCAGCAGUCUUUACGAAGAGGACCCUAAAAUCCCCUUGCACUUCAGCCCCACCCACUGCAGCUCUUUGCUCCUUUUCUGUAGCGCUCGGGUACCCCCUCCCCAAGUCCCCAAGCAGCCCUUUCUUCGCUUCUUGGCACUGCCUGGGACUCUCAUGCAUGCCUGCUUCUCUUUCUCUUCCUCUUCUCUCUCUGCACCGCCAGACCCCUCCCCCUGGCCUGUAAAUCCAGCCUUUUUCUUUCUCUUUUUCCUUCUUCCUCACCAAACCUUAAUAAAACACUGUAAACAUAUCUGUUUGCAGGUUGCUUGUCUUUAUAGAGUGUCUCUAAAGCCUUGGAAAUUGAGGAGUGGAGAAAAGAAAGAAUUCAUACUUUAAGACUGGCAUGGAGCUGGCAUCCCUGCCAACAGCUCCGUCCCUUUAACACUUUUUUUCCAAUAAGCCCUUUUGUGACAGCGUCUGCUCUAGGGAAAGCUUAGCUGUAUCCCUCCUGCACUGUGUCGGGGUGACAGAGCUGAGCCUAGGCUCCCCACACCCAUCCCCUGCCCCUGCCAGACAGAGGAGGUAGGGUAGAGUGUAGGCCUUCACAUGGAAGGUGUUUCUCUCAAGGCCAGAAAACAGUAUGUUCUAGAGGACUCUAGCCUUGCAGUAGAGGGGAAAUUUUGACUUGGAAUUGUGGGAAAAGCAAUCCUAUGCUGUUCAUUAGGACGGAUCUUAGAAUUCCCAGAGUGAGGCAGUCCAGGGCUGUCCAUAGGAUGACGCCAGGCACGCACCCAAGCUAUCCCAGUGGGCAGCACAACCAGGGCAAGGGAUCCCCGCUCCGUUCCUUCUUUUCCUCUUAUGUAGCAUACAGGCCCAUAGUGGCAGCCCUAAAGGGAGUAGGGCCAUCUAGCCCAAGAAGGGUACAAAAGCAGAAGUAGGACAUUUCCCCUGGUUGUUCGGUUGCUUGGAGAUAUGGGCAAUGCUCAGAAACACUGCUGUCAGGAAGUACAUGGAGGGAGCUGGACACGCCGGGCGUGGCACAGCACAUUUUCCACGAGGAGGCCCUGGGUUCAUCCCCGGCACCACUAAAGGUUUUGUUUAAAGCGCACAUGUGCACAUAUCCUUGCUUGUAUGUGUGUGGCUUUAGUUGGUGAUGACAACUGGGUAGAAGAGGGAGAAGUUUGAAGUGGACACGUGGCUCUGCCACUGUGGGCAGGCCCAACCUUGCCUCACAGUGGUGUUCCAGAUUCAGUGGCCUCUGUGUACGUGGAACAGCCAAGAGCCAAGUCUGACGUGGGCCUGUGUCCCAUAGAUGGGUCCGCGCCCCUUUCCCUCCUUCCCUUCCUUUCCUGCUUCCUUUUCCCCUCUCUCCUUCCUCACUGCACUGGCUUUCUCUUCGAGCUUUCCGAAAGCACCUGCACAAGACAAGUCUUCCAAAUUGGCCUAAUUUCAGGUCCUGAGGGGACCUCGCUGCUGCCUGACCCGGGCCUGGUGACACCUCGAGCUGGGCGUGACUGCCAUCGUUUGUCCUUCCUGGGCUUAGUGGCCGCUACUCUUCCACCGCCUCCGAUAGGCUCUUUCUUUUCAAAGUCAAGAGGAAGAAGACCUCACCUAGCAUCCAACCCCUCUCCAGUAUCCAGCCACGUGAAUGCUUUCCCAUCCCCGUGUCUUUCCUGCGGGACAUUGGACUCUCCUGUGGCCAAAAAGCCCAAGGAAGGAGAAGCAGAACAGAAUACGCUUCAGUGAACUCUGGUGCUGACCCACAACUUCCCGAGUGGGAACGCUGUUUUCUUGGUAUUUUGACCUUGUCAGAAUGACUGAUUUUCUUUUCUUUUCUUUCUUUCCUUUUUUUUUUUUUUUCUUUUUCUCCUCCAAAGGAGUCCCUCGCUAGCUAAGCUGCGUUCCUCUAGCAGUGAUUCGGAGGACAAACCUGUGUGUCUGGAAGCACUCACUGGUUGGAGGUGCUUGGCCUGCCCUCACUGGUGCUGGGAUGCCUCCUCUUGCUCUGUCUUCCCCAGAGGCUGAACACGCCUGUGAGCCGAGGUGGGGGCCCGCAGUUGCAUGUUAGGAGAAUGAACACGUAAAAGUAUCUCUGGCUUCCUUUUUCCCAGCUUUUACUGUCCGCCCUGCAGUGUAGCCCAUGUCCACACUUCCCUGGCUUCCUGUGCUAUUUUCCUGUUUUAUCAUGGCCUUAACAGCCAUGGCAUCGAAGCACAUGUUAGAAGGGGGAAACCCCUCGGGUCCCUUCCCAGCACCUCUGAUCAUCUUGCUCUUCUCUCUGCUUCUCUGUUUUCAUCAAAUCCCUCUGCUACUUAGGACGUGGAUAUAGCAAUGUGUUUCAUCUUUUUCCCUUUUUGGGCAUUCCUACGUCCGCAUGCCUCCUUUCUGUGAAUUGCGGAUGCAGCUGUCUGUCCUUCUUGGGAGCCCUUCUCAGUACAACUUUCAGCCACACAUGCACCAGCUGCCCUUGGGCAGUGAACAACCUGCACAACUGAACAUGGGCACUCUAACUCCCAUUCUGAAGACAGGGGUGCUAGUAAGCACUUGGUCAUUUAGCAGUGUCCCUGAAAUGGAAAUGCCCAUAAACUGGGAUUUAGAAGAGUAGCAGCUUUUGUAGCCUUCCAAAGCUUUAUCCUUUUGGGGAUCUUGUCCAGGAGGAAGCCUGAGGUUAUGUUUUAUUAUUUUGUCUUUGACCUACAGUCUGCAUCUGUUAAGGUUUUGUUGCCACACCAAUGGAAGGAAGGCACUUGUCACUGCAAAGGGUACAGUGGGCAUUAUUGUUUUAGUAAGAACCCCUAUCUCUUUGUCUCUCUGUUCUUUGCUUGACUUUGUGUCUAGUUGGCCACUUUUUGUACUAAGCCAGCCGCUCACUUUUGGCCCAGCUGACAAGUGGCGCUAUUCUAAAGUUGGUACUGCUGCCUGCAGAUCUCUGGUUUACCAGAACAUGCGCAGUGUAGACCCCACUGCCAGACCAGCAUGUCCAGAGCCAUGUCACUCUGAGCCGGUAAUGCAGUCACCGUCUACAGUGUCCUGCCCAAGAGACAGUUGCUUGUAACUGCUAAGUUACAACAGUUUUGUGCUGAUCUUUCCCACACAACAAGGAGCCUCUCCAUGCAGGAGUCCUCGGAGGAAAUAACUCUGUCCUCUGCGGUGGUUCUCAAGCCCAUCUGUAUGUUAGAAUUACCUGGGGGGUUUGAAAGUAUUACCAGUGCCUGGGCCUCACUCAGCCUAAUUAAAUCUGAAUCUCUAGGGCUGGUGGUGUGAGCACUGGUAUUCUUAAGGCUCCCGUAAGUGGUGCUAAUGUUUAGCUAGGGUUGGAGAUACGUACUGAUUUAUAGGUCAUGAAAGCAGGCAUCGUAGUGCAUCAUGCUUACUCCCUUACUCAGUGUGUAGCAAAUUCUUCCAGUGGGUGGGGC